RNAcentral lists this ribosomal RNA (253 nucleotides) under uncultured bacterium. RNAcentral describes it as "partial 16S ribosomal RNA". It matches the Rfam family "Bacterial small subunit ribosomal RNA", at positions 524 to 776 of the family's 1533-position model. The record is from RNAcentral.
UACAGAGGUCCCAAGCGUUGUUCGGAUUCACUGGGCGUAAAGGGUGCGCAGGUGGCGCUUCAAGUUUGAUGUGAAAGCCCCGAGCUCAACUCGGGAAUGGCAUUGAAUACUGGAGUGCUAGAGGUUUGGAGGGGGGACUGGAAUUCUCGGUGUAGCAGUGAAAUGCGUAGAUAUCGAGAGGAACACCAGUGGCGAAGGCGAGUCCCUGGACAACACCUGACACUGAGGCACGAAAGCUAGGGGAGCAAACAGG